Molecule: ribosomal RNA, 850 nt
Filed under: Leuconostoc mesenteroides
Lineage: Bacteria; Bacillati; Bacillota; Bacilli; Lactobacillales; Lactobacillaceae
Description: bacterial SSU rRNA
Rfam family: Bacterial small subunit ribosomal RNA
Source: RNAcentral
CUUGCACCUUUCAAGUGAGUGGCGAACGGGUGAGUAACACGUGGACAACCUGCCUCAAGGCUGGGGAUAACAUUUGGAAACAGAUGCUAAUACCGAAUAAAACUUAGUGUCGCAUGACACAAAGUUAAAAGGCGCUUCGGCGUCACCUAGAGAUGGAUCCGCGGUGCAUUAGUUAGUUGGUGGGGUAAAGGCCUACCAAGACAAUGAUGCAUAGCCGAGUUGAGAGACUGAUCGGCCACAUUGGGACUGAGACACGGCCCAAACUCCUACGGGAGGCUGCAGUAGGGAAUCUUCCACAAUGGGCGAAAGCCUGAUGGAGCAACGCCGCGUGUGUGAUGAAGGCUUUCGGGUCGUAAAGCACUGUUGUAUGGGAAGAACAGCUAGAAUAGGAAAUGAUUUUAGUUUGACGGUACCAUACCAGAAAGGGACGGCUAAAUACGUGCCAGCAGCCGCGGUAAUACGUAUGUCCCGAGCGUUAUCCGGAUUUAUUGGGCGUAAAGCGAGCGCAGACGGUUUAUUAAGUCUGAUGUGAAAGCCCGGAGCUCAACUCCGGAAUGGCAUUGGAAACUGGUUAACUUGAGUGCAGUAGAGGUAAGUGGAACUCCAUGUGUAGCGGUGGAAUGCGUAGAUAUAUGGAAGAACACCAGUGGCGAAGGCGGCUUACUGGACUGCAACUGACGUUGAGGCUCGAAAGUGUGGGUAGCAAACAGGAUUAGAUACCCUGGUAGUCCACACCGUAAACGAUGAACACUAGGUGUUAGGAGGUUUCCGCCUCUUAGUGCCGAAGCUAACGCAUUAAGUGUUCCGCCUGGGGAGUACGACCGCAAGGUUGAAACUCAAAGGAAUUGAC